Molecule: ribosomal RNA, 253 nt
Filed under: uncultured bacterium
Lineage: Bacteria
Description: partial 16S ribosomal RNA
Rfam family: Bacterial small subunit ribosomal RNA
Source: RNAcentral
UACGGAGGGAACUAGCGUUGUUCGGAAUUACUGGGCGUAAAGAGCGCGUAGGCGGUUUAUUAAGUUGGGAGUGAAAUCCCAGGGCUCAACCCUGGAACUGCUCUCAAAACUGGUAGACUAGAGUGUGAUAGGGGGUGAUGGAAUUCCUAGUGUAGAGGUGAAAUUCUUAGAUAUUAGGAGGAACAUCGGUGGCGAAGGCGAUCACCUGGAUCAUUACUGACGCUGAGGCGCGAAAGCGUGGGGAGCAAACAGG